AGAUGGCUGGAUGGCCGCUGGCGGGUUCGCCCCGUCAGAGGAAAGUCCGGGCUCCACGGAACCACGGUGCCGGGUAACCCCCGGCGAGGGUGACCUCAGGGAAAGUGCCACAGAAAAAAUACCGCCAUGGUGAUCAUGGCAAGGGUGAAAAGGUGCGGUAAGAGCGCACCGCGGUUCUGGUAACAGAACUGGCAGGGUAAACCCCACCGGGAGCAAGACCAUGUAGGAACGCAAAAGGGGGCUUCGGCCUCCAGCGGGGCGGUUUCGUCCGUGCGUUCGGGUAGGUUGCUAGCGUUGGCUGGUAACAGCCAUCCCAGAUGAAUGGCCAUCCAUCGUCAGGCUGACGCCAUGGCGAGGACAGAACCCGGCUUACAGGCCAUCUGA
RNAcentral lists this RNase P RNA (384 nucleotides) under marine eukaryotic metagenome. Its description in RNAcentral is "Bacterial RNase P class A". It matches the Rfam family "Bacterial RNase P class A". Rfam says of the family: Ribonuclease P (RNase P) is a ubiquitous endoribonuclease, found in archaea, bacteria and eukarya as well as chloroplasts and mitochondria. The record is from RNAcentral.